GACAGAGGUGCCAAGCGUUAGGCGGAAUCACUGGGCUUAAAGCGUGUGUAGGCGGAUCGUUAAGUGCCUUGUGAAAUCCCACGGCUCACCCGUGGAACUGCUGGGCAUACUGGCGGUCUUGAGCCACCUAGGGGCAACCGGAACAAACGGUGGAGCGGUGAAAUGCGUAGAUAUCGUUUGGAACGCCAAUGGUGAAAACAGGUUGCUGGGGGUGUGCUGACGCUGAGACACGAAAGCCAGGGGAGCAAACGGG
Molecule: ribosomal RNA, 253 nt
Filed under: uncultured bacterium
Lineage: Bacteria
Description: partial 16S ribosomal RNA
Rfam family: Bacterial small subunit ribosomal RNA
Source: RNAcentral